RNAcentral lists this ribosomal RNA (1947 nucleotides) under human gut metagenome. Its description in RNAcentral is "bacterial LSU rRNA". It matches the Rfam family "Bacterial large subunit ribosomal RNA", at positions 3 to 1982 of the family's 2925-position model. The record is from RNAcentral.
UCAAGCAAAAAAGAGCGCAGGGUGGAUGCCUUGGCACUAAGAGCCGAAGAAAGACGUGAUAAGCUGCGAAAAGCUGCGGGGAGAUGCAAAUAAUCUUUGAUCCGCAGAUGUCUGAAUGGGGAAACCCGGCUGGAAGGACUCCAGCCAUCCAUACGCCAAUCCAUAACGUAUGGAAGGGAACCCGGUGAACUGAAACAUCUAAGUAGCCGGAGGAAGAGAAAGAAACAUCGAUUUCCAGAGUAGCGGCGAGCGAAAUGGAAAGAGGCCAAACCGUUGUGCGUGCACAGCGGGGUUCGGACCGCAUAAUUGAUUCAGUGAUUCUAGCAGAAAGGUUUUGGGAAAGCCUGCCGGAGAGGGUGAAAGCCCCGUAAGCGAAAGGAAAACUGACAAGGCGGUAUCCAGAGUACAUCGAGACACGUGAAACCUUGAUGGAACACGCGGGGACCACCCCGUAAGCCUAAAUACUACUUAGUGACCGAUAGCGCAUAGUACUGUGAAGGAAAGGUGAAAAGGACCCCGGGAGGGGAGUGAAAGAGAACCUGAAACCCUGUGUUUACAAUCUGUGGAAGGUCUUUAUAUGAUCAACCGCGUACUUUUUGUAGAACGGUCCGGCGAGUUACGCGUACUGGCAAGGUUAAGUGCUUAAGGCACGGAGCCGAAGCGACAGCGAGUCUUAACUGGGCGGUAAGUCAGUACGAGUAGACCCGAAACCGGGUGAUCUAUCCAUGUCCAGGAUGAAGAUGCCGUAAAAGGCAUUGGAGGUCCGAAGCCACAUCCGUUGAAAAGGGUGGGCAUGAGGUGUGGAUAGGGGAGAAAUUCCAAUCGAACCCGGAGAUAGCUGGUUCUCCUCGAAAUAGCUUUAGGGCUAGCCUCGUUUUAGUCUUAUGGAGGUAGAGCACUGAAUUUCCGCGGGGGCGUCAAAGCUUACCAAAGAAUAUCAAACUCCGAAUGCCAUGUAGAUGAUGAACGGGAGUCAGACUGCACGAGAUAAGUUGGGCGGUCAAAAGGGAAAGAGCCCAGACCACCGGCUAAGGUCCCAAAGUGUGUGUUAAGUGGAAAAGGAUGUGGGAAUUCGAAGACAACUAGGAUGUUGGCUCAGAAGCAGCCAUACAUUCAAAGAGUGCGUAACAGCUCACUAGUCGAGAGUCCCUGCGCCGAAAAUGUCCGGGGCUGAAACACAACACCGAAGCCGUGGACUCCGUAAGGAGUGGUAGAGGAGCAUUCUUAAAACCGACGAAGCUGUACCGGUAAGGAGCAGUGGAGGGAUAAGAAGAGAGAAUGCCGGAAUGAGUAGCGAGAGGAAGGUGGGAAUCCUUCCGGCCGAAUAUCUAAGGUUUCCAGAGUAAAGCUGAUCUGCUCUGGGUAAGUCGGGGCCUAAGGAGAGGUCGCAAGACGUAUCCGAUGGACAACAGGUUUAGAUUCCUGUACCGCAUAUAAACAGAACUGUGGGGACGCAUGUGGAAAGCAUAAGCCGGGAAUGGAAAGACCGGUACAAGCGGGGUAGGUGUGUGACAGGCAAAUCCGUCACAUAAGCCGAAGACGUGAUGUGGAGCGAAAUUAAGUAGUGAAGUAUGUGAGCCAUGUGCCGAGAAAAGCCGCUAUUGUUUUAUAUGUGCCCGUACCGUAAACCGACACAGGUGGAUGAGGAGAGAAUCCUAAGGCCGACGGAAGAAGCAUUGUUAAGGAAUUCGGCAAAAUGACCCCGUAACUUCGGGAGAAGGGGUGCCCACUGAAUGGUGGGCCGCAGAGAAUAGGCUCAAGCAACUGUUUAGCAAAAACACAGGUCUAUGCGAAACCGAAAGGUGAAGUAUAUGGGCUGACGCCUGCCCGGUGCUGGAAGGUUAAGAGGAGAGGUUAGCGCAAGCGAAGCUUUGAAUUUAAGCCCCAGUAAACGGCGGCCGUAACUAUAACGGUCCUAAGGUAGCGAAAUUCCUUGUCGGGUAAGUU